UACGUAGGAGACGAGCGUUGUCCGGAGUUACUGGGCGUAAAGGGCUCGUAGGCGGCCAACUAAGUCAGACGUGAAAUCCCUCGGCUUAACCGGGGAACUGCGUCUGAUACUGGAUGGCUUGGAGGUUGGGAGAGGGAUGCGGAAUUCCAGGUGUAGCGGUGAAAUGCGUAGAUAUCUGGAGGAACACCGGUGGCGAAGGCGGCAUCCUGGAGCCAAUUCGUCGACGCUGACGGAGCGAAAGCCAGGGGGAGCAAACGGG
Molecule: ribosomal RNA, 259 nt
Filed under: uncultured bacterium
Lineage: Bacteria
Description: partial 16S ribosomal RNA
Rfam family: Bacterial small subunit ribosomal RNA
Source: RNAcentral